This 580-nucleotide non-coding RNA is filed under the name Pongo abelii (Sumatran orangutan). Lineage: Eukaryota; Metazoa; Chordata; Mammalia; Primates; Hominidae. The record is from RNAcentral.
AGUCGCCGCAGCCGCGGAGUGAGGGAGCGAGAGUCUUCCUUAGCUUCCCCGCCAUGGGCGUCGCUUCGUAGCCGGGCUGCUCCGGGAAAGGCCUCGUACAGCACGCAUUCACCAGAAUCCUGUCAGCUUUCCUCUUCUCAUCCAGACGCCUGGCCAGGAUCCUUGAUAAGACCGUGACCCCCAACUUAGACACCCCAUAAGGUUCCCAGAUGAUGUGACAGCUACUGGUUUCCAGCCACACCUUGAGAACACUUGGCUUUCACUAUCACUUCUUAAACUUAAAGGAAAACUAGACAAUCCACCAGCCCAGGAGGGGACAAGCAGGCUUAAUCCCCCUCCUCGUCAUCUCUGGCUCCAGCCCCACCCUGGCCCUUCCUGGCAUUCUUCCUCUUCACGUGGCUGGGGUGGCCACCCCAAUAGGGAGGCAGAGGGAGAAGUCCAUGUGCUUCUGGGAAUCCAGGCGGACAGUGAAGAACAGGAUAUUUACCACCUGCUCACGGAUAUGAUACUGUUGGAUCAGCACACGAGCGUGGCGGAUGGACUUAAGCCAAGCCCAGCUUGAAGACCUGGGUCUGUAGGC